GCAAGCUUAACCGUAUAGGGCAGGCGUAGCGAAAGCGAGUCCGAAUAGGGCGUUCAGUCGCUGGGUGUAGACCCGAAACCAAGUGAUCUAUCCAUGGCCAGGUUGAAGGUGCGGUAACACGUACUGGAGGACCGAACCCACUAACGUUGAAAAGUUAGGGGAUGAGCUGUGGAUAGGGGUGAAAGGCUAAACAAACUUGGAAAUAGCUGGUUCUCUCCGAAAACUAUUUAGGUAGUGCCUCGUGUCUCACCUUCGGGGGUAGAGCACUGUCAUGGUUGGGGGGUCUAUUGCUGAUUACCCCGCCAUAGCAAACUCCGAAUACCGAAGAGUGCAAUCACGGGAGACAGACAUCGGGUGCUAACGUCCGGUGUCAAGAGGGAAACAACCCAGACCGCCAGCUAAGGUCCCUAAAUAUUGCUAAGUGGGAAACGAAGUGGGAAGGCUAAAACAGUCAGGAUGUUGGCUUAGAAGCAGCCAUCAUUUAAAGAAAGCGUAAUAGCUCACUGAUCGAGUCGUCCUGCGCGGAAGAUGUAACGGGGCUAAGCCAGUUACCGAAGCUGCGGAUGUGCAAU
This 572-nucleotide ribosomal RNA is filed under the name Pseudo-nitzschia australis. Its description in RNAcentral is "partial Bacterial large subunit ribosomal RNA". It matches the Rfam family "Bacterial large subunit ribosomal RNA", at positions 640 to 1214 of the family's 2925-position model. The record is from RNAcentral. Lineage: Eukaryota; Bacillariophyta; Bacillariophyceae; Bacillariales; Bacillariaceae.